GACGAACGCUGGCGGCGUGCCUAAUACAUGCAAGUAGAACGCUGAAGGAGGAGCUUGCUCUUCUGGAUGAGUUGCGAACGGGUGAGUAACGCGUAGGUAACCUGCCUGGUAGCGGGGGAUAACUAUUGGAAACGAUAGCUAAUACCGCAUAACAGUAGAUGUUGCAUGACAUUUACUUAAAAGGUGCAAUUGCAUCACUACCAGAUGGCCCUGCGUUGUAUUAGCUAGUUGGUGGGGUAACGGCUCACCAAGGCGACGAUACAUAGCCGACCUGAGAGGGGGAUCGGCCACACUGGGACUGAGACACGGCCCAGACUCCUACGGGAGGCAGCAGUAGGGAAUCUUCGGCAAUGGACGGAAGUCUGACCGAGCAACGCCGCGUGAGUGAAGAAGGGUUUCGGAUCGUAAAGCUCUGUUGUAAGAGAAGAACGAGUGUGAGAGUGGAAAGUUCACACUGUGACGGUAUCUUACCAGAAAGGGACGGCUAACUACGUG
RNAcentral lists this ribosomal RNA (495 nucleotides) under uncultured bacterium. RNAcentral describes it as "partial 16S ribosomal RNA". It matches the Rfam family "Bacterial small subunit ribosomal RNA", at positions 28 to 507 of the family's 1533-position model. The record is from RNAcentral.